RNAcentral lists this non-coding RNA (29 nucleotides) under Mus musculus (house mouse). Lineage: Eukaryota; Metazoa; Chordata; Mammalia; Rodentia; Muridae. The record is from RNAcentral.
UGGGAGUCUGUUCUUCAGUCCUUGAACGA